Molecule: non-coding RNA, 277 nt
Organism: Pelobates cultripes (western spadefoot toad)
Lineage: Eukaryota; Metazoa; Chordata; Amphibia; Anura; Pelobatidae
Source: the annotation of a GenBank genome assembly
CAGGAGCUGCGCGCCCAUUCAGCCGGUCUCAUAGGAAAGCAUUCAUAAUGCUUUCCUAUGGAUGCUGGCAUCUUCUCAAUGUGAUUUUCAAUUUUCAAGAACAUACUACCCUAUUAUUCCUUUUCUGUUGUUUCAUAUGGAUUCCACUGCUGAUGUACCCUGGUACUUCCAUUGAGGAAUUCCGCAGACACUUUUGUUGAAAAGAACUCCUGGCAAGUGUAUUUCCACACUACUAACUUGGACUUUCUACUAUUUGGACUUUUUUGCUCCACUUGGG